RNAcentral lists this ribosomal RNA (213 nucleotides) under uncultured Geobacter sp. RNAcentral's name for it is "partial 16S ribosomal RNA". It matches the Rfam family "Bacterial small subunit ribosomal RNA", at positions 1171 to 1382 of the family's 1533-position model. The record is from RNAcentral. Lineage: Bacteria; Pseudomonadati; Thermodesulfobacteriota; Desulfuromonadia; Geobacterales; Geobacteraceae.
AAGUGGGGAUGACGUCAAGUCAGCAUGGCCCUUACGUCCGGGGCUACACACGUGCUACAAUGGCCGGUACAAAGGGUUGCGAAGCCGUGAGGUGGAGCGAAUCUCAAAAAGCCGGCCUCAGUUCGGAUUGGAGGCUGCAACUCGCCUCCAUGAAGUCGGAAUCGCUAGUAACCGCAGAUCAGCUACGUUGCGGUGAAUACGUUCCCGGGCCUU